This is a long non-coding RNA of Apis mellifera (honey bee), 6825 nucleotides long. RefSeq lists it as uncharacterized. NCBI's taxonomy places the organism in Eukaryota, Metazoa, Arthropoda, Insecta, Hymenoptera, Apidae. The transcript is spliced from 3 exons. The record is from RefSeq and is a predicted model, not a curated record.
AUAUAUCGUAUCGUGUCAUUAAAUAUUCAUAACAACAGAUCGAUGCAAAUUAAUAAUCCUUGCAAAAAAAAUGCACACGUUUGCUUCACGCCAAUUUUUUUAGUACAAAGUGUAAGUAAACGUGAUUAAAUAGAGAUGUUUGUUCUAAAUGUAUCAUUGCAUUGACGCGUGCAACGCAUCCUCGCUGUGUAUGAAUGGCGUCCUGAUGCGCCUAUCUCACCGCGCAGGCGUAUAGAACCCAUGUACCGUUGAGAGAAGGCGAACGAAAUUGUUGCAUAAGAGCGUUGGUAAUCGGUUAGCGUGUAACAAUAGUAAAAGGCAAUACCGUUGCAGCUUAGAUGUUUAACGGGCAUGACUGGAAUUCGUAAUUCUAGAUCGAUUCGAUUAGGCUAAGUGCAACAAUCAAUUUUUCCUUCUCGAAGAUUCCAUUUAUAAAAAUUCUUCUCGAUCGAUUGUAAUAACCUUUUUUUAAAGUCACUUCGAGACGACUUCGACUCGACCAAUUUCAUCAAUCAAUUAACCAUCUUUUUAGUGACAUUUUGGAUGGGUAUUGUAGAAGCGCAAAGAAUAGAAACGAUCAAGAUCAAUAAUAUAAAUUACAAAGAGUAUCACGAAAAAGAAGAAACGUACACGUGUCCAUAUUAUGUGCAGAUUUCAACUUAAUUUGGAAAAGUUAAAAAUAUAAAUUUAAAUUACAAUAUUUUAAAUUAGAGUUAAUUUUCUCUUUGACAUAUGAUUCUAUAAAUUAUGAUAAAAUUAUGAAUAAUAGUUAAUUAGCAGAAAUUCCUGUGACGUAAUCGAAUGUAUUACAAAACGGAAAAUAAAUAUUCAAACAACGAGAGUUGAAUUAAUAAUAUAUUAAAACCUAAUUAAAUCAUACUUUUUGCUCGUUCUUUUUUCAAGUUAAACGAUCAUUUUUCAUUCAUCGGUAUCUUGUUUUCUUCUUCUUUAACACCGACUAAUUUUAAAACGACGGAUCAAUUUUUUUUUAUAUGCAAAGAAGUGGUGGCCAAGCCAUUGCUUAAAAAUUCAGACAGACACCAUCACUCGUUGUUCCCCCUUCCUCUUCCUCCCGUAUGUCGAAUUCCAAAUAAAGAAUCCAUCCUUAGUUAACGGUUCUUCCACGUCCUUCAAAAGAUCCACCUCGAGGAAAACUAUUCGUAUAAUUCGCAAUCUCGUCUAAUUUACGAUACCAUCGGUUGGUAAUUACGGAUAACAAUCAGUGAUGCAUAACCAGGAUACCAAACGAGCGACAAAUCACGAGUAAGAACAUGUACAACCAGUGCGACGAUGAUUCAAAAAUAAUCGAUAAUUUUCUCUAUCGAUAAGUUACAGAAACUUAUCGAUAAGUUGUAGAAACUUUUUAGGAUUCUAAAAAUCAUUUCGGAAAAAACUCUGCGCUGAAAUCUGUGAGGUUCACGAAAAUCACAUGAUUUUCAGGAUGAAAAGCGGGGCGGCUAGCUCACGCGUUUCCAUCGCAUUUCCUCGUUUCCCGGCGCGACCGAGUCAGCGAGCCGGCGUGCGUUUCGCAAAGAAAAAGUGAGCGGACACACUCGAGGCAUUCACAUAUCUCCCCUCGGGCGAUUGGAUUUAUGUCGUUCGAUCACGUGAAACUUUCCGCAUGAGUUGAACGAGAUACUACCUAGUAUAGUAUAGGGAACGAACUUCAUCCAUUAUUGCCCCACUUUUCACCAUUUUUUUUUUUUUAUCGAUUUCAUUUCUCGAGAUCGAUUUCACGAAAAUUUUGCGGCCAUGUUAAAUAGAGCUCGAGCGGAUUGUGCGCACUAAUCGCAAGGUGUCGUUUUAUUUCUGCGCUUGGAAAGUGUUGGUGCAAAGAAUCGGAACGCAGCGCGAUCUAUAUAUUCGGCGUUCGAUUCUUAUUUCUUAAUAACAAUUUUAAUAAUAAUAAUAAUAAUAAUAACAACGGAGUUAUUAAUGAGUAGGCUUGAAAAACAGACAGAUUAGAGAAUUUCAAAACUUCUGAUUCAAAAAAGGCAAUUUAUAUUCCGAAGUAAAGAUGAUACGAAGUAAUUUUUACGGAUCAACACGAAAAAGAUAUUAUUCUCAUCGCCUUUUUCGGCAAUCUAAUCUAAGCUUAUCUAAUUUGUAGUAAGUUUCUGACUAAUUCUGUAUUAUUACACGUGUAUGAUAAUAAAUAGGAAUGGAAUAUGGUAAUUGGACAGGAAGCGUUGAUCGAGGUAAAGUCUUGAGCCUAGAGCCUAAUACACGCGAUAAAUUAUUACUGUUUCUAACUAACCCAAUCAAACGUGGCGUGCGUAAUAUAACGCGAAAUAUAAAUUUCUUGCUCCCCGUCAUUCGGUCGUUGUCGUCGCGUUGUCUUUCAAGGCCGCCCGGCAGAACACGUACCCGGCUCACCCACUCGUGAAACAUCUGAAUUACCUACACAAUUUUUCGGUAUUUGACUCGAAUAAUAAACAGAGAGAACGAGGUGUAAUAAUAUUUUAAACACGCGCGAAAGACUGUAUUGUUGUUCUCUCAAUUUAAAAAUAUUGAAAAAAAAAAAAUAAAUAAAUAAAAAUCAUUAAAGAAAAUAUAUAUAUAUAAAUAAUUAAAUUAGAACGAAAUCUCGUCUCUCCGAUUUUUAAUGUAUCUUAUGUGUGUGCGAAAUCGCAUGCAUAUCACCCAUAUAAUUACACGCAGGGUACUGUCAUUUCCUCGAAUGCGUUGAAACCGGUCAUCAAUGGAGAACGGGAUUUCUGGCCAAGAUCCAAGAUCAUGGUCAUCGACUGCUGACCAUUGACUGCUUCCAUUACUACCUCUUCUUCCGUUCUCAUGUAUUAUUUUUCAAGAUCAAAUUUUAAUUCACGAUUAAAAAAAAAAAAAAAAAAUAAAACAUUUAUUCAAAAAUUUGAUCGAAAAUAUGUAUCUCUCCCCUCUCGUUUUGUAUAGAUACGAUUUUUUUUUUUUUCGUGUAAAUAAUUAUCCUCAAAAGACAAGUCCCACUUUUGCUCGGUUGAAAACAAUGGAAGCCGAGAUCGUUCAUAAAGGCGAAAAAAAAAAAAAAAACUUGGAACGAAUUCAUGGCGUAUAAAUAAAACGUUGUUUGAAUGAUUUUGAAUAAGUUUCAAAGGGAAAGUAUUCUUAAUCUUUUACAAUAGGAAUAUUGAAAAAGGUUGUAAUUAAAAUUUUAUUUGAAACGAGCGUAUGCAUAAACCAUAAUUACACGGGCUUGCACGGGCCGUGGCCGAUCAAUGAAACAGCGGCGACACACACAGGCCAGCGGUUGUUACCAGCAUUUAAAACCCGCAAAUCCCUAGAGCUUGGUAAUAUUUAUUAUCGCGCAGAGACGGUUGAGACUGUGAUUGUGAGAAUCCUUAGGAAAGUACUUUCCCAUGCAUGGGCGCCUUCCAUUCGUCGGGAGAAAAGGUUAAAACUUAUGAGAUGGCCAGAAGCUGUGCGUUACUACGAAGUAGUAAAUUGCUAUUCGCUCAUCAAAUGCACCCUUGUGCAAAAUAAUGAAUAGAAAUAUGUAAAUGGCGAAUAAUAAAAUCGUGUUAAUGCAGCGUUUUCCUAACCUUUAUUCCAACGUUGUUGUGCGUUCGCGACUCCUUUUUAAGGAUCUUAUGGACUUCUUAUGACGCGUGUAAUUUAUCAUAUGAUAAUCGAUAAAAUUAUUAAGAAAAAUGUGAAAUCGAGCCUCGUGACACUUUCAAGGAUAUUUUGAAAUUUUCGAUUAAUCUUUCUUGUUACAAAAAAAAAAAAAAAAAAGAUUAUAAUUAACUUGUUUCGAAACUCGCUUAAAAAUAUUCACUCUCUGAGGUUCAAAUAUUUUCACGAGUGAACUCCUUCAAGUUCAAGGGAAGAAAUUUUGAAAAUUGCAAAAAAUUUUGUCCUCUCUCGACAAGGUCAAGAAUCAUGGCUGGCUCGGAGAGAAAGAGGGAGAGAGAGAGAAAAGCUUUCUAGGUUUUAUUUUGAACAUUUUUAUUCACCAAACCGAGGUCGCAUAUUUUUGCAUGAACAACUGGUAUCCGCGCGAGGACUUCUGGUUCCAAGAUCAGGAAACCUGCAUUUAACGACAGUUAACACAAAAUAUCAUCAUGUAGAAAAUUCUAAAUCUAAAUUUAAACGAUAAUUAUUCGUCUUCUAUUUUAAUAUUAAUAUACUUUUAAAUUGAACAACUUUGAUGAAAGAUCAAAGAAAAAUUAAUAUAUUUUGUAUACAUUUUAUAUCUGAAGGUAAUCGAGAUCAUUUAAACAUUAACGAUAAUUGAACGAAAAAAAAAAAAAAAGAAUACUGGAAUGCAACUUUAUCUCUCUUAAUAUUUUUCUUUUUACAUAUACAUGUAUAUCGUAAUUCAAUAAGAGGGAACUUUGGUGAUCGCAAGAAGUAAGAACGAUUCUCACAUUAAGAACUCGCUACAUUAUCUCGCGAACGAUCGUUUUUCGAAAGCAAUUCCCAGCAGGUGUGAUUGUUGCAAGAACAAUCCUCCGAAAGAAUCUUCCAAUUGUCAAGAGCCAGUUCACAUCUAACGAUUAGAUAACUCAUUCUGACUCCACGCAUCUUAAUAUUCAACCAUCCUCUUCUUCGAAACAAUGUUACAAUCGUAAAUUAACGACACUUGUUCACCGACUCAUUGCAAAAAAAAAAACACACUCUCUUUCAACAAGCUGAAAAUUAAUGUUUAUUUUAAUUAAUUCUAAAUAAGAUAAGAGAGUUGAUUUUCCAGGAUAUUCUAUCUAUCUCACUAUCUAAUUCCUUAUACAGCGGCUCAAAGUUAUUUAAAUAUGUUAUCUCGCUCGGUGAAAUUUACGUAACAGGUAAUUUCGAAAAUUCUGAUUUUAAUGAAAGUGUACGUUUUGUUACGUGUAUAAAUGAAAAUUUAUACACGAGUGAAAUCAAUUCUUCAAAAAAGUUUCGAUAUAUUUUUCAUUUUUUGAAUUUUAAAUUUUUUAAUUUGCUUUGCAAUUUCCUUUCGCAACACAAUUCUCAACGUUUUGCAAUUUAAAAUUUCCCGCAUUUUUCAUCACUUCCUUCUUUAAAGCGAUGUUUUCAUUAAAAUUUCACCAACCUGUUUCAAAUUUUAUGCUAUAUCGCAAAAAUUCACUAUCGAGUCUAAUUUAAUUCUACUUACGCGAUUCGUAAUGCGCAGACAAAUGUAGGGGAAAAAAUUUAACAAAAGUACUAGAAAAGGUAUCCGAGAAAAAAACACUAUAUUUACGCCGAGAAGAGCGUAAUACAGAGAGGUGUCGAAAGAGAAUCAUAAUUCCUCGCGUUCUUGAACUUUUUAACAACUGUCUGAUUCACCGUGAUACGAGGCAAACUUUCAGAGAAAGGAAAUCGAAAUGUUUUGAAACGUCGUCCCAUGUUGGCCUGGUACCGUUGCCACAUCGAGUCUAGUUUUAGUGCUUUUGGACCGGUAAUGUGUGCACGCUUUGCCUCGUUUUUCUUCCCUUUACGGGAACCUAGGCGAUCGUUAUUUUAAUUACUUCCCGCUCGAACGUACAGUUUUGGAGAUGGUUGAAUUCUUUUUCUCCGAUUUCUAGCAAACAACGGGUGAAUCUCGAUAACUCGGAAUAUCGAUUUCACUUUUUCGAUUAUAUUAAUAAAAAUUCGUUCUUUAUUAUUAUUUCUUUGCUUAUUAAUCACAAAUCGCAAUAACGGAAUGCGAUAUUGAUUUAUAAAGCACAAGGAUACAAUCACGAAAAAUAUGUACAAAGGACUUUUAAAAAAAUGUAUGAGAACUAUGCUAUCGAAUAGCUUAAUCUGAUCUAUUACUUCCGCUUUUCUUCCUCAGUGUUGCAGAAAGAGAAAGUAACGAUCCUUUCACUCUUUAAAUCAAUAAAUAUAAGAAUUUAAUAAUAUUCAUAUAUAUAUAUACUUAUUUCACAUUUCAAAUUUAAUUAGCUAUUUUCAAUCUUUCAAUCGAAUAAAUCGUUUUCUCAUCACAUUGUUUCAAAGUUAAAACGUUCCGUUUUCUUUCCGCGACAUAUCCUUUUCCGUAAUAUUACACAUUAUAUAUAUAUAUACUGUACAUAUACUGUACAUGCCUCUGUGCUAUAUCGUCCAAUACCUCGUAUCCUCCUCUAUCUAGUUGCUUAGACACUUUGCAAUAUAAAAUCAGAUGUUAUCCGCAUAACCCUGUUAUCUCGAGUGCUUUGACUUGGAUAGAAGAAAAUUCUGUUACAUAAAUCGCGAUUUCACGUGAGAUAAGAGAGAGAGAGAGAAAGAGAGCAACAUUCCGAAAGAGAGCAGUGAAGGUUUUGCACGCAAAGUGUCUUGCGCGCAGUCCUUGUAAAAUCUAAAUGGAUCGUGGUCACGAGUAAACGUCAAACGAUGCACGUGUCUGUACACAAAUAUCCGCGUGGUGAUAGAAGUGCACGUGACAAUCGUGGUUAGAAAGCACACGAUCCUGGUGGAAUGUCAAUUUACCGACCAACCGUUAAUACCUUCGAAUGGAAACCCGCGGAGACAAGUGGUUGAAGAGAAAAAAAAAGUUAUUUUCUCCUUGUCAUAACUAACCUAACUCGCGUCAACUCGGUUUCUCGACCGACUUUACAUCGGACGUUACAUCGAUAAAGACGGUACGAGUAAGAAAGUCGUAUUGCAAUAUUAUUCUUUCCUCCAAUAACAAAAUUUAAAAGUUGAUCGUUCGUCGCAAAAUUUUUAAACGAGUUUUUAAAAUUAUUUCCAAGGAUGGACAAGACAUUGGUGCAUUGGUGCAAAUAAUUUUUCAAGAGUUCGUAAAGGAAAAUAAUAUUCGGCCAAUAAAAAUAUCACGGCGUAUCAACAUGGUAUAAUUAACGAACAAGGGCAAUGCUGGAAAAAUAUCAAUGAUAUAAUCUCUAAUUUAUAUUCAUAAAUGCA